This 253-nucleotide ribosomal RNA is filed under the name uncultured bacterium. RNAcentral describes it as "partial 16S ribosomal RNA". It matches the Rfam family "Bacterial small subunit ribosomal RNA", at positions 524 to 776 of the family's 1533-position model. The record is from RNAcentral.
UACGUAGGCAGCAAGCGUUGUUCGGAGUUACUGGGCGUAAAGAGCUUGUAGGCGGUUUGUCGCGUCUGCUGUGAAAUCUCAAGGCUCAACCUUGAGCUUGCAGUGGGUACGGGCAGACUAGAGUGUGGUAGGGGCGACUGGAAUUCCCGGUGUAGCGGUGAAAUGCGCAGAUAUCGGGAAGAACACCCGUGGCGAAGGCGGCUCUCUGGGACGGUACUGACGCUGAGACGCGAAAGCGUGGGGAGCGAACAGG